This 21-nucleotide non-coding RNA is filed under the name Caenorhabditis elegans. The record is from RNAcentral. Lineage: Eukaryota; Metazoa; Nematoda; Chromadorea; Rhabditida; Rhabditidae.
CGAACUCAAAUAUAGUCAAUA